This 495-nucleotide ribosomal RNA is filed under the name uncultured microorganism. RNAcentral's name for it is "bacterial SSU rRNA". It matches the Rfam family "Bacterial small subunit ribosomal RNA", at positions 9 to 486 of the family's 1533-position model. The record is from RNAcentral.
GAGUUUGAUCGUGGCUCAGGAUGAACGCUGGCGGCGUGCCUAAUACAUGCAAGUCGAGCGAACGGACGAGAAGCUUGCUUCUCUGAUGUUAGCGGCGGACGGGUGAGUAACACGUGGAUAACCUACCUAUAAGACUGGGAUAACUUCGGGAAACCGGAGCUAAUACCGGAUAAUAUUUUGAACCGCAUGGUUCAAAAGUAAAAGACGGUCUUGCUGUCACUUAUAGAUGGAUCCGCGCUGCAUUAGCUAGUUGGUAAGGUAACGGCUUACCAAGGCAACGAUGCAUAGCCGACCUGAGAGGGUGAUCGGCCACACUGGAACUGAGACACGGUCCAGACUCCUACGGGAGGCAGCAGUAGGGAAUCUUCCGCAAUGGGCGAAAGCCUGACGGAGCAACGCCGCGUGAGUGAUGAAGGUCUUCGGAUCGUAAAACUCUGUUAUUAGGGAAGAACAUAUGUGUAAGUAACUGUGCACAUCUUGACGGUACCUAAUCAG